CUACAUUAAACAUGAGGCAAGAAAAGGAAAUGAGAAUCAGGUGAGUAAUGUUUUUCAUGUUUACCUGUUAGCUAGCAAAAUAAUCAUAUUUGGUUAAUGGGCAAUUAACACACAACUAGUGAUGAUUUAAGACAUGCUGUUGGCCAGGUGUUGUGGCUCACGCCUAUACUCCUAGCACUUUGGUAGGCAGUGGCAGGCGGAUCACUUGAGUCCAGGAGUUCGAGACCAGCCUGGCCAACAUGGUGAAACCCCGUCUCUACUAAAAAUACAAAAAUUAGCCAGAUGUGGUGGCGGGAGCCUGUAAUCCCAGCUACUCAGGAGGCUGAGACAGGGAGAAUUGCUUGAACCCGGGAGGUGGAGGUUGCAGUGAGCCAGGAUCGCGCCACUGUACUCCAGCCUGGGUGACAGAGCAAGACUCCGUUCAAAAAACAAAAAAAAAGAUAUGCUGUUUAUUAAAAAAGAGAUCAUUAUUGGUAAUAGUGCCAAGGACUGAAUCCUUUCAGAUUAACUAUCUGCUGUUGUGAAUGGUGAAACUGUUUUGCGCCAAGUAAUCUGUUGAAUAACAUGUUUUUACACAGAUACAAAGGCUGAGUACUAGUUGCCAAGUACUACGAGAGAUGGCAUGAUUUAAGUAGAGAGGGAACUGGAUUUGAAAUCAGAAACACCUUGGUCAAGUACCAGCUCUCAUUUAUUUCUCUGCAACAUUAGAAAACUCAAACUCCUCUUCUUUAAAAUGGAAAUAAUAUCUGUUCUGCUGAACUGAGUGUUGUGAGCAUCACAUGAAGUAGGGAUUGUGAAAGUGACUUGUAAGCUAUAAAACACUGCUGAUGGCUGAUGGGAGUUGUCAUGGCCGCUUCAGACCCACAGCAAAGAUUUUUGAUAAGGCAUGACUCCUAAACGGAUGAAUGAGUGCCCCAUUAGAGCCAAGAUUCUUUUAUUCUUUUUGUUGUUGUAGUUGUUGAGACAGAAUCUUGCUGUCAUCCAGGCUGGAGUGCAGUGGUGUGUUCUCAGCUCACUGCAACCUCCAUCUCCUGGGGCAGGAGAAUCACUUGAAUCCGUGAGGCAGAUGUAGUGAGCAGAGAUCAAACCAUUGCACUCCACCCUGGGAGACAGAAUGAGACUCCAUCUCAAAAAAAAAAAA
This 1141-nucleotide long non-coding RNA is filed under the name Homo sapiens (human). Its description in RNAcentral is "HSALNT0380951". The record is from RNAcentral. Lineage: Eukaryota; Metazoa; Chordata; Mammalia; Primates; Hominidae.